This 101-nucleotide small nucleolar RNA is filed under the name Neogale vison (American mink). Lineage: Eukaryota; Metazoa; Chordata; Mammalia; Carnivora; Mustelidae. The record is from RNAcentral.
GUAGACCUACAUCGUUGGAAAUGCCUCAUAGAGUAUUUGUGUGGUUUCCUUUAUUCACAGAACUAUGUGUUAGAUCUGUGGGAAAGAACUGCAAGACACUU